RNAcentral lists this long non-coding RNA (576 nucleotides) under Daucus carota (carrot). RNAcentral's name for it is "long non-coding RNA (DCAR_LNC005782)". The record is from RNAcentral. Lineage: Eukaryota; Viridiplantae; Streptophyta; Magnoliopsida; Apiales; Apiaceae.
UAUUGUAUGUUAGUGGCUUACCAUUUUAAGGCAUAGUGUUAGUAUUUGUGAUGAUUGCUGUCUUCUCAAAAGUGUUGAUGUUGCUGGUGAUGUGGUUCAAAUUAUAAUUUAACUAAGGUUUCCGUGGACCUCCCAUAACCAGCUAGAUCAAAUUCCAGCUUAUACCAGGCGGCAAGUUGUUUGUCACUCUGUCUGAGACUGGAAAAUGUUUUUCAUUAUUUUUUCACAUUGUGAUAUAUGGUAAUUAUUUAACCAGUCAGAAAAUUUACUUUAAAGGUAACUUCAAAGAGUUAUAUAAUUAAAAUGAUAUUGCACUUGAGGAAGUUCUGCACUUUUUUUGAAAAUGGAGCCAUCCAGAUUUAAGUCAGGUGUCCACUAGUAAUCAAUAGUUGAUACAGUUACAAAUCUGGGAAACUGAUCGUGUCUAUCGUUACAGGUGUCUUGAUGCAUAUAGUGCUCACAUCUGCUCCAUUUAGACCCCACAUUUCUUAUUAAACAUUUUUCGCAGUUUAUAAAUUUUGUGAAAUACCUGCUGUGGUCUGAUCUCUUGAUCAUAUACUGUAAGUUCAUCCUCAG